CCUACGGGAGGCAGCAGUGAGGAAUAUUGGUCAAUGGACGAGAGUCUGAACCAGCCAAGUAGCGUGAAGGAUGACUGCCCUAUGGGUUGUAAACUUCUUUUAUAUGGGAAUAAAAUGUUCCACGUGUGGGAUUUUGUAUGUACCAUAUGAAUAAGGAUCGGCUAACUCCGUGCCAGCAGCCGCGGUAAUACGGAGGAUCCGAGCGUUAUCCGGAUUUAUUGGGUUUAAAGGGAGCGUAGGUGGCGUGUUAAGUCAGUUGUGAAAGUUUGCGGCUCAACCGUAAAAUUGCAGUUGAAACUGGCAGGCUUGAGUACAGGAGAGGUGGGCGGAAUUCGUGGUGUAGCGGUGAAAUGCUUAGAUAUCACGAAGAACUCCGAUUGCGAAGGCAGCUCACUGGACUACAACUGACACUGAGGCUCGAAGGUGUGGGUAUCAAACAGGAUUAGAUACCCGUGUAGUC
Molecule: ribosomal RNA, 460 nt
Filed under: uncultured bacterium
Lineage: Bacteria
Description: partial 16S ribosomal RNA
Rfam family: Bacterial small subunit ribosomal RNA
Source: RNAcentral